RNAcentral lists this long non-coding RNA (374 nucleotides) under Bos taurus (domestic cattle). RNAcentral describes it as "long non-coding RNA NONBTAT018536". The record is from RNAcentral. Lineage: Eukaryota; Metazoa; Chordata; Mammalia; Artiodactyla; Bovidae.
UCUACUUAGAAAGACAACACUGUGCUGAGAGGUUACUCUUUCUGAACAGUCGCAUCAUUUCAUUCAGCUAUUCUCAACUCCCCUUCAAAAGACUCUCCCACUAGAAUUGCAUGAAUAUUGUGCACCCAAGGUGAAUGUAUGUUUAGAACAACAAAAUAUUGAUUUUUCAUUGUGUAACUUCCAUUUAAUUUAAGCCAAAAUGCAAGAAGGGGAAAGAGUUGGUAAGAGAGGACACUGAUCUAACCCUUUCUAGUGAUCCUUCAAAACUUCACACACUUCCAGUGUUGAAUUUUGUUGACAGAUACUUAUUUCAGUCACAUUUUGAUUUUAUACAACUCUUCAAAGUCUGGUUUUAAAACAAAAAAAUCUAAAAU